UUAGGAUUAUUCUUUUAAGGCAAUUCAAACUUAUGGGGCUAAAGUCAAAGAGUUUAGGUUUUUGGCUAUAAUUUAAUACAAAUUUUGUGUGAUUUGUAGUUUUUAUAAAAGAAAUAUAGGCAGUCAAAGUUAAGGUGUUGGUUUUAUACAUAUUGUCACCUUUUUGGACAUAAUGCACACAUACGAGAAGAAAUGAAGGAUUGGCGACUGAGAUUAGAGAGAACGUUUUUUUUACUAUACUUUUUAUGUACUGCCUAAUGAAUUCUAAGCUAGAAUGAAGGAUUUAUAGGAAGUUAAUUCUUUUAAGGCAAUUCAAACUUAUGAGGCUAGAAUCAAAGAGUUUAGGUUUUUGGCUAUGAUUUUGGUAUAAAUUUUGUGUAAUUUGGAGUUUUUAUGAAAGAGAUAUAGGUGCUCAAAAUUAAAGUAUUGAUUUUGUACCUACUAUCACACUUUUGGACAUAAUGCAUGCAUAUGAGAAGCAAUGAAGGAUCGGCAAUUGAAGUUGGAGAGAGCAUUUUUUUUACUAUAUUUUUUAUGUACUGCUUAAUAAAUUUUAAGCUAAAAAAAAGAGUUAAAGAAGUUGAAUUUAGUGCUUGCAAUCUAAAGUUAGUAAG
Molecule: long non-coding RNA, 614 nt
Filed under: Physcomitrium patens
Lineage: Eukaryota; Viridiplantae; Streptophyta; Bryopsida; Funariales; Funariaceae
Description: long non-coding RNA (PPAT_LNC012569)
Source: RNAcentral